GUCAUAGCCGCAUAUCCUUCUAGUUGCUGCAUGUGGGACUCGUCCUCAGCAUGGCCGGAGAAGCGGUGUGUCGGAGCGCGCCCAGGAUCCGAACCCAGGCCGCCAGUAGCGGAGCGCGCGCACUUAACCACUAAGCCAUGGGGCCGGCCCAGAACAUCAAACUUUUAAUUUAACAGUUUCUUCCUAAUCUUUGCUUUUGAUAUAAGGUAAAAUCCACUUUUUUAAUAUGGUAUGAAACAUUCUAGAAAGCAAAAUUAAUGCCUUAGUGUGUGUUCUGAAGUCCAAUCAUUAUUAACUGUCUAGACUACAUAUUUAAUACUUUCUCCUUUAUUUCAGUUCUCUUUAUCCAAUCGCAAUACUACUUGGUUAAGAAAUAAGCUUGUCAAAUCAAUUCUAGGAUUUUAUAGGCGGUGGGAUGGCGGUGGGAGAGUGCUUUAUUUUCCAGCUUCCAUGGCUCCAAAAGAUGCCCUAUUAGUAAUAUUUUCAUUGUGGAGAAAAUGUAAUUUCCUGCAGAGGUCUUUGUGUCAGUAGUAGUUAUAGAAUAUGAGAGUCAAAACAAAACCUUAGUCCAAAUGCCUAAUUUUAGAUAAGGAAACAAACAGAGAGGUUAAGUCACCUACCCCGGGACACAAGCAGUUAUCUGUCAAGUCAGUCCUAGUCUUGAGUUCUCUUUAACUGAAUCCAUUGAUGGUUCUAUUAUACAAGGCUGGUAAUAGCCAUUUUAUAAUAAGACCUGCUUAACAAAAUGUAGUAGUUUUCUUUAUGUGUAGGAAAAUAAAAUAUAUAUUGCAUGCCUUCUUAUUACAGAAAAAAAUGGUGCUAUGAAGAUAUAAUUAUAGCUUUCACAUAAAUGAAGUUACAACUAUCAUGAUUUAGUGCCCUAAAAAGGAAGAACUUCAGUGGACAAGAGAGGGCAUUUUGUGGGUAAUAGAAUGCUUGAGGCCUGGAAUUUAAACUUGAGCUACUGCCUGAAGAUAUGGUGAGGCCAACAAAUCAGAAGAUGAUUGCCAUUGAAAAAAUAGUUUAUUACUGACAUUUCCCAAGAGGAGUGAUGCAUGCCCCACAGGGCCGCACAAGAGAAAACUGAGCUAUUAAAUAAUAGAAGACAAUGGAAUUGAAUAUGAUAUCAGCAUGGAACAGUCUAAUGAUUCAUUAAGAGUCAACCAUAAUGAUUCCGAAGAGUCAAAAACAGAUUCACAGGAUCUAACCUGUAUGGACUCUAGGGAUCCUUCCUUUGGACAAAAUGGUUCCCCUAGAAUUUUACCCAUUACUACUCAUGAAGCAGAUAAUUCACUCACAUCACAGAAUAUACCAGGGCCCGUGACUCAGACACGGACUCUUUCUGCAGAACAGUUCCAUCUAGUGGACCAAAAUGGGCAACCUAUUCAAUAUGAACUUCAGUCAUUGGGGGAUUCUAGUGCACAAAUGAUGAUUGUUGCCAGCCCAUCAGAAAAUGGACAGGUGCUUCGUGUAAUUCCAUCCACACAGACAGGAAUGGCCCCAGUGAUUAUACCUCAGGGGCAGCCUGUGGAUGUGAAUAGUCCUCAGGAUGUCUCUGAAGAGAAACCCAGUGACAGAAACUUACCAGCUGUGAGAGUGGAUGCUCUAGCAGACAAUAACAGUAGUUACAUUCUUUAUCCACAAACAUCCCUCACGUUGCCCAAAAAGACAGUGACCAGAAUGCUUGAAGAACCCUUUCUGGCUCCUCUCCAGGCACUUUCUUCUAACACACCUAUAUGGGCCUGCCGUCUUAGGAGCUGUGAGAAAAUUGGAGAUUCAUACCGUGGCUACUGUGUAAGUGAGACUGAAUUAGAAAGUGUCCUAACAUUUCACAAGCAGCAAACACAGAGUGUUUGGGGGACCCGCCAAUCUCCGAGCCCAGCCAAGCCAGCUACACGCUUGAUGUGGAAAUCCCAAUAUGUCCCAUAUGAUGGAAUCCCAUUUGUGAAUGCAGGGAGUAGAGCCGUAGUAAUGGAAUGUCAGUAUGGGCCAAGGAGAAAAGGUUUCCAGUUAAAAAAAAUCAGUGAGCAGGAAAGCAGGUCUUGUCAGCUCUACAAAGCCACUUGUCCAGCCCGGAUUUACAUUAAAAAGGUACAGAAGUUUCCUGAAUAUGGAGUUCCUACAGACCCCAAAAUUGAUAGGAAAAUAAUCCGAAUGGAGCAGGAAAAAGCCUUUAACAUGCUAAAGAAGAACUUGGUAGAUGCUGGUGGUGUUCUUAGGUGGUAUGUACAGUUACCUACCCAGCAAGCUCAUCAGUAUCAUGAAUUAGAGACUCCUUGCCUCCCUUUGUCACCUUCCCCUUUUCCUGUGUCUUCUCUUGAAGAAGAGGAAACUGCAAUUAGAGAUGAGAAUUGUACAUUACCCUCACGUCUACAUCCUCAAGUAGCACAUAAGAUUCAAGAGUUAGUAUCACAGGGAAUAGAACAAGUGUAUGCAGUAAGGAAACAGCUAAGAAAAUUUGUGGAAAGGGAACUGUUCAAACCUGAUGAAGUACCUGAAAGACAUAAUUUAUCCUUUUUUCCAACUGUAAAUGAUAUAAAAAAUCACAUCCAUGAGGUGCAGAAAUCCUUGAGAAAUGGAGAUAAUGUAUGUAAUUCAGAGAUUAUUCCAGCAACGCUUCAAUGGACUACAGACAGCGGGAAUAUUCUCAGAGAAACUGUGACAGUUACAUUUGCAGAAGGAAAUUCACCAGGAGAAUCAGUUACCACCAAAGUGGAAACAAAUCAGAUAAGGAGUUCUUUGUCUCCAGAGCCAGCCCAUUUGCUCUCCUCACUUUCCUCAUUUCAGCCAAAAAUAUUUACACAACUACAGGGUUUGCAUUUGCAACCAAGAUUUACCUCUCCUGAUGGAUCACCGGCUCUGAUAUCAGUAAAUAACCACCCCUCCUCCAGUCCAUCAAGACUUCUGGAUUCAAUAGGAAGUGCUGUAAUGAAUAAUAAUUCUCUACUGCUUGGUCAAAGUCAUAGCCUUCAAACAGAUUCAUGCCUAACCCAAAACAAUAGUAUUGCCUCUACUGUGGGUAACCUUCCAGGACCAGAUCGAAAUCUGGUUGCAAUGGAUCAGCUGGUGGAAGUUGGAGAUGUUGAGGAUACAGAGAAUCUGCAAGGAAGUGUUCAUCGGAUUCUGUUGGAAGAUGUGCAGACCAUUCCAAUACAGAUUAUAGACAGCCACCCAGCUCUCAUUGAAGAAAAUCCAGAAGGUACCAUUUCUAUGAACCAAGUUAAGCAAGAACCCAAAGAACCAGCGUUGUCUAUGGAAGCGAAAAAAAAUUUGGACUAUAAGAAAUUAUCUACUACAUGAACUACUGAAGCUUUUCAGAAUUUACAACUCUUGUGACUUCUGAUGUCAUAGAAAAGAAGGUAGAAACUGGAACUAUCAAUAUUUUCAUGUAAGUAUUUCAAUGAGUAGCCCUUUAAAAAUGAUUUCUAAAUUAGUUUUUAAAAAUUCGUUUGUCCUCUAAAUGCAUGUUCAGUCUCAGUAUGUCAGUAUUGUAUUUUAAAGGUGCUUAGCAUUGCUUUUUAAAAAGUAUGUUUACAUAUUUUAAAUAUUCAAUUUUUUUUAAAUGCACAGGGUAUUAAAUACAAGUGCAUAAAAUUUUUAGUAUCUAUAUUUGGCAUUCUCCUAACAGCUCUACAGCAAAGUUUGACAUUUGCUCUUUUGUGUCAUGUAUUACAAGGCAUAAUAUCUGUAGUGGUAAGGUAGACUUUCAAAAUAAACAGUUAGAAAUUCAUAAUCACAGCUGAGCCUGUUUCCUCAUUGUGGUUUUCAUGUUCCAAGCCUCCAAGGGAACUUUAUAUGUACUAUGGUGAAUUACAGAUAAACAUCGCCAUGUAGGCCUUUCCCUCGAUAGUAAUUUUCUGUGUAAGCGGUUAUCAUAAUUAAAAGAAAAAGCUUUUAUGUUUUAUACAAGGUAAAUGUUUUCUAAAAGUCACAAAAGCGAUAGAAAACAGAUUUUGGGAUCUGGUCCUGCAUUAGAGUUUUUAAUUUUGAGGCCCACCAGCUUGUGUUUCAUCUUUAUAUCCUGUUAAAAUACAUACUUAAUCAUGUGAGUGUGAGAAAGAUGUUUAAUUUGUACCAGAUUUAUAAAGAAGUUUAAAAAUGUGUGUAUAUAUAUUGUAAUGUAAUGUAUAGUGUCCUUGUUAUAAUGUAAUUUUUUCAUUAAAAAAAUCCUGUGUUAUUUUUUUCUUAAACUUAGUAGUUUUCUUUUUAUGCUUUUCCUGGAGAUAGUGGUAGUUUUGUUUAUCUCGACUAUGCUGAAUAAACACUUAAUACCUGAGAAUUUUGGCUAGAGAUUUAUGUUCAAUUUGGAAGCUGCAAGUUUUUAAGCAUAGCUACCAGUAACUCCGGUUAUCAUCACAUUUGGGGAUAUAUAUGCAUUUACUACUCUCAACUCAGCCAGCCAUCUUCAAGUACAGCUUUAUAUUUUAGGAGUAAUGAUGGAAGUAUGUGAUUUUAAAAGGAGGGAUCAUUAAUUUUUUUCCCUCUUUGCUUUUUUUGCUUCAUUCCACU
This is an RNA transcript of Diceros bicornis minor, 4509 nucleotides long. It is a transcript of the gene named calcium responsive transcription factor, with no coding region annotated. The transcript is spliced from 17 exons. Lineage: Eukaryota; Metazoa; Chordata; Mammalia; Perissodactyla; Rhinocerotidae. The record is from RefSeq and is a predicted model, not a curated record.